RNAcentral lists this transfer RNA (72 nucleotides) under Nematostella vectensis (starlet sea anemone). It matches the Rfam family "tRNA". Rfam says of the family: Transfer RNA (tRNA) molecules are approximately 80 nucleotides in length. Their secondary structure includes four short double-helical elements and three loops (D, anti-codon, and T loops). Lineage: Eukaryota; Metazoa; Cnidaria; Anthozoa; Actiniaria; Edwardsiidae. The record is from Rfam by way of RNAcentral.
GGCCCGAUGGUCUAGAGGUAUGAUUCUCGCUUAGGGUGUGAGAGGUCCCGGGUUCAAUUCCCGGUCGGGCCC